UCGAACUGCACAUGGUGUGCGAAUUUUAUUAUAAUCGGUUAAGUGGUUUAGGAGUCCAUUGAGGACAAACAUUGUGACACGAGAUUUAUAUGUAUUAAUAUAACGAUAUAUAAAAAAUUCUAAUCGAAAAAACAAUUACUAAAGGAUUUUUGAAAUGGACGAAACCAGUUUCGGUUUUUGAAAUAAUUUUGUGUCUAAGAUAAGCGUAAUAACAUGCGCUACACAAAAAAAAAUGAAACGCUAUUUAAAACAGUACAUCUAUAUUGCACUAUAACAUCUCACAUACCGUUGUACAAAUAAGGUUAUGAAAUUUGAUUUAAAACAUUAAAUACUAUAUUACAUCACACAACAAUAAUCUAUAAAGUGCAUUUAUAGAAACCAAAACAUAAGGAAUUUAGUUUAAAAAGAAACAUAUACUAACACAUAAAAUAGCAGCUUAACCGAUAAAUAUUUUGUCCUUAAACACACUGGCGCAAAUACAAAAAUAUAAUUAUUUAAACGUACACAAAUAUUGUUAUUCUCUUUCAAAAGCAUUUUUUGUUAUAAAAUAAUUGUUUAUCCAAUUGCAAUAAAUUACAUAAAAAAUGACACAUGAUACGUGACAGUUUGAAAAUAAUAAAUAUUUUCAUAUACGUAGUUUAUUGCUUUAUUGUUUUCAUUACAACCAUCAAGAUAAAGGUCACCGACCGAUAAUCACGAUACCAGAAAGUAAUCGUCGCGUGAAAAAGCGACGGGACAUAAUUGACGACUAAUGCUGCCGGCAAACCCAACUGGCCGUAACACAUUAAAGGGCUGAACUUCAAUGGAAAUUAUGGCCUCUAUAAGAUGGACCGACACCGCAACUGCUUGUAGCCAACCAGCCGAUCGCACGAUUAAAAACGAAUGUAAUUCAUACCAUACGGUAGGAUUGUUUUAAUGUAUGUGGAUCCACAGUCAACAUUUUUUAGAAAAACAUCUUCGGUCAUAAAAUAAUACAAGAGUUAACACUCUCAAAUUGUUUCUAUACCAAAAAAUAUUUUACGUGGUUAUAGUCAGAUGAAAUCAUAAAUAAAAUCUAAAUUUUCUACUGCAUCAAAUAAGGUUUUUA
Molecule: unclassified non-coding RNA, 1087 nt
Filed under: Melitaea cinxia (Glanville fritillary)
Lineage: Eukaryota; Metazoa; Arthropoda; Insecta; Lepidoptera; Nymphalidae
Description: misc RNA ENSMCXG00005000232.1
Source: RNAcentral